RNAcentral lists this long non-coding RNA (3805 nucleotides) under Musa acuminata (dwarf banana). RNAcentral's name for it is "long non-coding RNA (MACU_LNC005110)". The record is from RNAcentral. Lineage: Eukaryota; Viridiplantae; Streptophyta; Magnoliopsida; Zingiberales; Musaceae.
CAGAGGACAAAGGUUAGAUCUUUAGCUCUUGUUACUCCUGUCAGAUGAUAAAUUGUAGGGCAACUGGUUCCCCUUUUGACUAUUAGUUUGUUUUUGCUUCCGAUUAGGGUUGCAUUAGGAGAAGGAUUCGUAUGGUAAGAUUGUGUGUGUCAUUGACAAUAUCGAUCUCUAUGAUCAUGAUGUCUUUAAACCUCAUGCACAAUGGCAUUAGAUAAACCUAUGGUGCUGCAAAAUGUUCGUUCUUUCAGUACACUGCCCAAUUUAUAAGUCUGCAUUUGUUCUGUAUUGCAAAUAAAUACCAUUUCUUUUACUUCUUGAGAUGAGAGAAUUGCGAAUUGGUCAUUGAGACUCACAACACAUGCAUAGUCUCAUCAUUAUUUUGCACCUAAGCUCCUUAAAUUUAGAAUCACUUGACGAUUAUUUUGCUUGCAUGACCAUUGUCACCUCGUUUGCUUGAGAAUUACUUGAGACAUCAGUUAUUGAAUGAAGUGAGUAGUUGGAGACCACCACAACCUUCCACCCUUGUGAGUUCAAAGGAUUUGAAGUGAGGUUAACAAGUUGUCUAUUUCUACUUUUCUGUUCACUGUUUCCCUAAAUUUAUUACCACAUAACUUCCAUUAUUGCCAAAAUUUCUAAACCCCAAACUGCUUAAAGUCUAACAUUGUUAGAAUCAUCCAACAAUGGAGAUGCAUUGAUCAAUUUCAUGCCCAAUUCAAGCUAGUCAAGAAGGGUGAACUAAUGUCUUUUUCCUUCCCCAGAAUCAAUACGCGUUUGAAUAUGCAAUACUCAUUGUUUUAUUGUUUGAGUUGAGUUUUCUUACAAAUUGAAUAUGUUCUUGUUUUUUGAAUCCUCAUCUGUUUUGGCUUUUAUUUUCUUAUUAGUAACUCUCUUCCCUAAGCCUAUCACCCUUUAGGUUGUCCUAUAUUAUUUUGCCUUGGUUUUGAAGCCUAUAAGGUUAAUUUUGAGUUAGUGGGAUUGCGACCUAUCAAUAUUGUCCUUCUUACAUUGAUCAAGAAAUGUAAUCUUCCAAAUAUGCACAUAUAUCAAUCACAUAUUCAUGCAUAAAAAAAUUGUUGUGAAAAAUUCAAAGAAAUUACAAUAUGCAUCAACGAAUAAAAAAAUAGUCUGCUGGCAAUGAGUUAUAUUAUGUAAGAGCUUGAUGCCAAAAGAAUUAUAAAUUGAGCAACAUGCAGGAGUUUGAACAAGUUAUCAUUUGAAAAAGAUGAUAAGUUUUUGUAUGAAACAUAAAGAGAUCUAAAUCAUUUCAAAUUAAGCAUAAGGUCACAAAGUUAUGAUUAAAUUAUGAUACUAUUAGAAUUAAGUCUUUCUAUAUUACAAUCUAGCUCCCAAUCAAGAUUAAAAAAAAUGGUCGGACCUUGGUAUUCAUCGGUCUAACCAGGAACAAGGUAAUGCCAUUCAGUUUGGUUCACAAUUGGCCUUUUAAAACUUUUAAAUUUUUUUGCUGUAACAUCCUAUCAACAAUCAACCCUGCUGUUGAUUUCCAAAACAGCUAUCAACAGGGCUGUUGAUUGUCAACAGCAGUCCUCCUCCUCUCCUCCUUCCUUCUACUCUCUUUCUCUUUGGUCUGUGCCAAUUGGUAUACCGAUGUGCCAGGGUCGGUGUGUCAUACCAGAUCUAUACUAGUCCGAACAAGAACUGGUAUGAGUCUCGGAUUAUUAAAUGGUCCUUAUGAUAUCAUAAUAUAGUCUAUGGGUAUUGCAAAUCAAUCUCUAGGACUCACGAACCAAUCUUUUAAACGAGGUACCUAGUGCAUGAAAUUCUCGCCAAUAUGAAGUAUAGAGAGGAUCAAUGUACAUAAUCUUACAUCUACAAAUAGAUAGAUGGACUAUAUGACUUAGACCUUGUUGCCAAGGUCAUAAAAAGAGCAAGAUUCACCCUCACAAUCGAACUCAAUAAAAAAAUAGUUAGAUUUUGCUUGGAUUCAUUCACAAUAGAUUCAUUUCUUGUCAUCCAAUCUGAUCAACUCAAUUGGGCAAGAUUGAUACCACAGCUUUAUAACACUACUCCUAAUUUCAUCCAUUCCCUACAUGUCUGACAAAGAUAGGAUGCUACAUUUCUUUCCUUCAUUUACUACUAUCGAUAUGAAUGCAGCGGAAGGUAUGCAAUCUUAAAUUUUAAAACAUGUUAAUGUACUAAACAAAACGAUCGGAUUUCCCCUGUACAUAAUGAUUUUGACACAUGUACAAAAUUAUAAUAUUUAAUUAAAAAAUCCAAACAAAAUAUGUCCAACUUAUUCCAUCUAACAUAAUAUAACAUGUUCAAAAAUCUUUUAUACAUGAAAUGCCCAUAGUUUAUCGUCCAUAUCUACGUUGGCAUGGGCUUACAUGUGCUCACUUCUCACUUCCCUACCCAAUCACUUGAGUGGAGUGUUAGUAUCCUUACCUGCAAAAUAGGAUCCAUAAUGAGUCAUCACUCAGUAAGUAUAAGCCUUUUUUCAAGUGAGCAUGUAUCAUGUCAUAUAUAUAACAUUUCAAAAUCAUGGGCAUUAGACAUUAAUGGUAAACAUCCUCAUCUUAUGACUUCUUUAGUAAGUACAAUCCUACAACAUAGUAUAUGCACCAUAAGAACGUAAAAUUCUAUGUCAAAAUAAUUCAAAAUGUUGAUAUAUAACAUAGUAUAUGCACCCAAGUCAAUGACCUCAAUCAUUGACUUGGGUUGAGUUCUAAUGAAUUUUCCGGAUUGGUUCAUCUAUUCAAUGUACAACUUAACCAUCUAGGAUAACAAUUCUAUUUGAUCCAACCACUCACUGGUAAAUACAAUCACUGGUCUUCCUUAUUUUUCUUCCCUUCAUUCUUUCCUGAGACCAAUAUAUGAGCUUUCAUUCUAAAAUCAAUCGGCAAAUGCAAUCACUGACAAUAAUUAUACUGGUACGAAUUUAUUUUAAAAAUUAAUUAAAUAAGAGAAUAAAAGAAGACAAACAGAUCAAGGAAAGAAAAAAACAAAUAUGAGGACAUGGCUCUGAUUGCAGGGAUCACCUCUACCUCAGUCACUCUCCGUUCAAAGAUGACCUGCUUCUCUAGCCACGCUCCCUUCCAUAGACCCCACAGGAAGAGAUAACAAUUGAUUUUUCUUCUUUGAGGCGAUUGCCUUCUUAAUUUUAAUUUCACAUGUUUGCUAUAUUCUUGGGAAAUGGUUGAACAAGCUGUUGACAAGCAUGAUCCAUGGCUUUACUCAUCAAUGUUUCAUCAGUUUGAAUGAGUUGCUUAAGCUGAAAAGUCUUAGUGCUUGUUUGACAGCACCAAUGUUUUUACUUGUUUUUAUUAGUUUAUUGCAACUGUUCAUCAGCUUAACGAAAGAUCGGAAUGGAUGCAGGAUAUUGUAGUUUUGGCAAGGAAACCAAGCACUGAGCUAGUAAGUCAGAUUGUGUUGAUGCAGAACCACCAAUAGUCACUAACUGCAUCUGGAUAUGUUGAAGUCCCUGUUUCCCUGUUCAAUCAUGAUGUGCUUCAUUGCACUUUAUGCAAUUUCUAUUGGUGAUCAUGUCAACUGUUGGACAAUCUCACUAGUGAUGUGAAAGGAAGAAAAAAGAGAAAAAGAGAAAUCCAAGGAUCCACAAGCUCUCUUAUCAACAAUUCUUGUUGUUAUACUUGAGAUGAAUAUAUUCUGUCAAUGUGAAAAGCACCAUAUGCCAAACUCACAAACUUUCUUUCACCUUAUCUGAUCCACUGUUGAAGUAUCUUCCCCUGUUCUGAAGCAUUCACAUAUGUGAUUGGAGACCAUCAAUGAAGCAGAGAAGAAAAGGGAAACAAAAAGUAUCAAUUUACUUUUGCUACUUGUUCAGUAG